Molecule: non-coding RNA, 203 nt
Filed under: Clostridium sp.
Lineage: Bacteria; Bacillati; Bacillota; Clostridia; Eubacteriales; Clostridiaceae
Description: T-box sequence
Rfam family: T-box leader
About the family: Uncharged tRNA acts as the effector for transcription antitermination of genes in the T-box leader family.
Source: RNAcentral
AUAUAAACGUUGAUUGGAAAAGGAAGAUUAGUAAUAUUAUAGAGAGUUAACGGAUGGUGAAAGUUAAUAUAGAGCUAAUCUUUUAGACACCAUGAGUGCUUAAAGAAUUAAGUAGACUAAGCCGGCCAUAGACCGUUAUCCUUAAAGAGAGACUAUUAAGUAAUUAAGGUGGUACCGCGGAUUAACAGUGAUUCGUCCUUUGU